Molecule: ribosomal RNA, 433 nt
Filed under: Cyclargus sp. BOLD:AAN3640
Lineage: Eukaryota; Metazoa; Arthropoda; Insecta; Lepidoptera; Lycaenidae
Description: partial 16S ribosomal RNA
Rfam family: Archaeal large subunit ribosomal RNA (bases 294-433)
Source: RNAcentral
UUAGUCUUUUAAUUGAAGACUUGUAUGAAUGAUUUGAUGAAAUAUAAACUGUCUCUAAUUUAUAUUUAGAAAUUAAUUUUUUAGUUAAAAAGCUAAAAUUUAUUUAAAAGACGAGAAGACCCUAUAGAGUUUAAUAAUUUGAUAUUUAGAAUAUUUAUAUAAAAUUUUAAUAUAAUAUUUAUUAAUUUAUUUUGUUGGGGUGAUAAAAAAAUAAAAAAAACUUUUUUUUUUAUUAUCAUAAAUAAGUGAGUAAAUGAUCCAAAUUAAUGAUUAUAAGAAAAAAUUACCUUAGGGAUAACAGCGUAAUAUUUUUUUUUAGUACAAAUAAAAAAAAAAGUUUGCGACCUCGAUGUUGGAUUAAGAUAAAAUUUAAAUGCAAAAGUUAAAAAUUUUGAUCUGUUCGAUCAUUAAAAUCUUACAUGAUCUGAGUUCA